RNAcentral lists this ribosomal RNA (1310 nucleotides) under Staphylococcus aureus. RNAcentral describes it as "bacterial SSU rRNA". It matches the Rfam family "Bacterial small subunit ribosomal RNA", at positions 120 to 1416 of the family's 1533-position model. The record is from RNAcentral. Lineage: Bacteria; Bacillati; Bacillota; Bacilli; Caryophanales; Staphylococcaceae.
GAUAACCUACCUAUAAGACUGGGAUAACUUCGGGAAACCGGAGCUAAUACCGGAUAAUAUUUUGAACCGCAUGGUUCAAAAGUGAAAGACGGUCUUGCUGUCACUUAUAGAUGGAUCCGCGCUGCAUUAGCUAGUUGGUAAGGUAACGGCUUACCAAGGCAACGAUGCAUAGCCGACCUGAGAGGGUGAUCGGCCACACUGGAACUGAGACACGGUCCAGACUCCUACGGGAGGCAGCAGUAGGGAAUCUUCCGCAAUGGGCGAAAGCCUGACGGAGCAACGCCGCGUGAGUGAUGAAGGUCUUCGGAUCGUAAAACUCUGUUAUUAGGGAAGAACAUAUGUGUAAGUAACUGUGCACAUCUUGACGGUGGGUAAUCAGAAAGCCACGGCUAACUACGUGCCAGCAGCCGCGGUAAUACGUAGGUGGCAAGCGUUAUCCGGAAUUAUUGGGCGUAAAGCGCGCGUAGGCGGUUUUUUAAGUCUGAUGUGAAAGCCCACGGCUCAACCGUGGAGGGUCAUUGGAAACUGGAAAACUUGAGUGCAGAAGAGGAAAGUGGAAUUCCAUGUGUAGCGGUGAAAUGCGCAGAGAUAUGGAGGAACACCAGUGGCGAAGGCGACGGGCUGGUCUGUAACUGACGCUGAUGUGCGAAAGCGUGGGGAUCAAACAGGAUUAGAUACCCUGGUAGUCCACGCCGUAAACGAUGAGUGCUAAGUGUUAGGGGGUUUCCGCCCCUUAGUGCUGCAGCUAACGCAUUGGGCACUCCGCCUGGGGAGUACGACCGCAAGGUUGAAACUCAAAGGAAUUGACGGGGACCCGCACAAGCGGUGGAGCAUGUGGUUUAAUUCGAAGCAACGCGAAGAACCUUACCAAAUCUUGACAUCCUUUGACAACUCUAGAGAUAGAGCUUUCCCCUUCGGGGGACAAAGUGACAGGUGGUGCAUGGUUGUCGUCAGCUCGUGUCGUGAGAUGUUGGGUUAAGUCCCGCAACGAGCGCAACCCUUAAGCUUAGUUGCCAUCAUUAAGUUGGGCACUCUAAGUUGACUGCCGGUGACAAACCGGAGGAAGGUGGGGAUGACGUCAAAUCAUCAUGCCCCUUAUGAUUUGGGCUACACACGUGCUACAAUGGACAAUACAAAGGGCAGCGAAACCGCGAGGUCAAGCAAAUCCCAUAAAGUUGUUCUCAGUUCGGAUUGUAGUCUGCAACUCGACUACAUGAAGCUGGAAUCGCUAGUAAUCGUAGAUCAGCAUGCUACGGUGAAUACGUUCCCGGGUCUUGUACACACCGCCCGUCACACCACGAGAGUUUGUA